AUUCUCUAUAUCUUCUAUAUCUUUUCCUUCACCAGUGAUAAUUGUCAUAAUUUACAACCCUUUAGAAAAUUGUGCAUAGCUUGAGCUCAAUGAUUAUAAUUUGUGCCAUAUAAUAUAGUCUGAAUGGAUCGAGCAACAUCAUUUUGGGGUUGAGAUUAAACCGAGACAAAAGUGAAUAUUUUUGAGAUAUUAUGAAUGAAUAAAAAUAGCAAAACUCAAGUAUAGAAGCAAAAUUGAAAAAAAUCGAGGCCAGA
This 254-nucleotide long non-coding RNA is filed under the name Elaeis guineensis (African oil palm). RNAcentral describes it as "long non-coding RNA (EGUI_LNC031510)". Lineage: Eukaryota; Viridiplantae; Streptophyta; Magnoliopsida; Arecales; Arecaceae. The record is from RNAcentral.